Molecule: long non-coding RNA, 719 nt
Organism: Oncorhynchus tshawytscha (Chinook salmon)
Lineage: Eukaryota; Metazoa; Chordata; Actinopteri; Salmoniformes; Salmonidae
Source: Ensembl
ACUAUAUACUGUGGGACUAGAUACUGUGGGACUAGAUACUGUGGUUCUAGGUACUGUGAGAUGAGAUACUGUGGGACUAGGAACUGUGGGACUAGAUACUGUGUUAGCACUGGAGAUACUGUGGGACUAGAUACUGUGGGACUAGAUACUGUGGGAUGAGAUACUGUGGGACUAGAUACUGUGGGACGAGAUACUGUGGGAUGAGAUACUGUGGGACUAGAUACUGUGGGACUAGAUACUGUGGGACUAGAUACCAUGGGACUAGGUACUGUGGGACUAGAGACUGUGUUAGCACUGGAGAUAAUAUGGGACUAGGUAUUGUGGGACUCAAUUCCAUUGGACUAGUUACUGUGGUACUAGGUACUGUGGGACUAGUUGCUGUGGGACCAGGUACUGUGGGACCAGAUACUGUGGGACCAGAUGCUGUGGGACUAGGUACUGUGGGACGUUACCAUGGGACUAGAUACUGUGGGACCAGAUACUGUGGGACUAGGUACUGCGGAACUAGGUACUGCGGAACUUCUGCUGGUUGGGGAACAUUUUGAUUGAAACCACAAUAUUAACACUCUUAUGAGUGUACAUGCAUUUUUGUAUAUUAUAUAUCAGUGGAGGCUGCUGAGGGGAGGACGGCUCAUAAUAAUGGCUGGAUCGGAGCAAAUGGAAUGGCAUGCAACCAUGUGUUUGAUGUAUUUGAUACCAUUCAACUCAUCCCAUUCCAG